UUGAAGAGUUUGAUCAUGGCUCAGAUUGAACGCUGGCGGCAGGCCUAACACAUGCAAGUCGAGCGGUAACAGAAAGAAAGCUUGCUUUCUUUGCUGACGAGCGGCGGACGGGUGAGUAAUGCCUAGGAAGUUGCCCAGUAGAGGGGGAUAACCAUUGGAAACGAUGGCUAAUACCGCAUACUCUCUUCGGAGCAAAGCAGGGGACCUUCGGGCCUUGCGCUAUUGGAUACGCCUAGGUGGGAUUAGCUAGUUGGUGAGGUAAUGGCUCACCAAGGCGACGAUCCCUAGCUGGUCUGAGAGGAUGAUCAGCCACACUGGAACUGAGACACGGUCCAGACUCCUACGGGAGGCAGCAGUGGGGAAUAUUGCACAAUGGGGGAAACCCUGAUGCAGCCAUGCCGCGUGUGUGAAGAAGGCCUUCGGGUUGUAAAGCACUUUCAGCAGUGAGGAAGAUGGUGUAGUUAAUAACUGCAUCAUUUGACGUUAGCUGCAGAAGAAGCACCGGCUAACUCCGUGCCAGCAGCCGCGGUAAUACGGAGGGUGCGAGCGUUAAUCGGAAUUACUGGGCGUAAAGCGCAUGCAGGUGGUGGAUUAAGUCAGAUGUGAAAGCCCGGGGCUCAACCUCGGAAGGUCAUUUGAAACUGAUUCACUAGAGUACUGUAGAGGGGGUAGAAUUUCAGGUGUAGCGGUGAAAUGCGUAGA
This 702-nucleotide ribosomal RNA is filed under the name Vibrio marisflavi. RNAcentral's name for it is "bacterial SSU rRNA". It matches the Rfam family "Bacterial small subunit ribosomal RNA", at positions 1 to 694 of the family's 1533-position model. The record is from RNAcentral. Lineage: Bacteria; Pseudomonadati; Pseudomonadota; Gammaproteobacteria; Vibrionales; Vibrionaceae.